RNAcentral lists this unclassified non-coding RNA (338 nucleotides) under soil metagenome. Its description in RNAcentral is "partial contains 5.8S ribosomal RNA, internal transcribed spacer 2, and large subunit ribosomal RNA". The stretch from base 1 to 120 matches the Rfam family "5.8S ribosomal RNA", at positions 35 to 154 of the family's 154-position model. The record is from RNAcentral.
GAUGAAGAACGCAGCGAAAUGCGAUAAGUAGUGUGAAUUGCAGAAUUCAGUGAAUCAUCGAAUCUUUGAACGCACAUUGCGCCCUUUGGUAUUCCAAAGGGCAUGCCUGUUCGAGCGUCAUUUGUACCCUCAAGCUUUGCUUGGUGUUGGGCGUCUUGUCUCCAGUUCGCUGGAGACUCGCCUUAAAGUAAUUGGCAGCCGGCCUACUGGUUUCGGAGCGCAGCACAAGUCGCGCUCUCUUCCAGCCAAGGUCAGCAUCCACAAAGCCUUUUUUCAACUUUUGACCUCGGAUCAGGUAGGGAUACCCGCUGAACUUAAGCACAUCAAUAAGCGGAGGA